AUUGAACGCUGGCGGCAGGCCUAACACAUGCAAGUCGAACGCGAAAACCCCUUCGGGGGCAAGUAGAGUGGCGAACGGGUGAGUAACGCGUAGGAAUCUACCCAGGAGUGGGGGACAACCCGGAGAAAUCCGGGCUAAUACCGCAUAUGCCUACGGGGUAAAGUGGGGGACCUUUAGGGGCCUCACGCUUUUGGAUGAGCCUGCGUCGGAUUAGCUUGUUGGUAAGGUAACGGCUUACCAAGGCGACGAUCCGUAGCUGGUCUGAGAGGAUGACCAGCCACACUGGGACUGAGACACGGCCCAGACUCCUACGGGAGGCAGCAGUGGGAAUAUUGGACAAUGGGGGCAACCCUGAUCCAGCCAUGCCGCGUGUGUGAAGAAGGCCUUCGGGUUGUAAAGCACUUUCAGUAGGGAAGAAAAGCCUGAGGUUAAUACCCUUGGGUCUUGACGGUACCUACAGAAGAAGCACCGGCUAAUUCCGUG
This 483-nucleotide ribosomal RNA is filed under the name uncultured bacterium. RNAcentral describes it as "bacterial SSU rRNA". It matches the Rfam family "Bacterial small subunit ribosomal RNA", at positions 30 to 507 of the family's 1533-position model. The record is from RNAcentral.